RNAcentral lists this non-coding RNA (26 nucleotides) under Macaca fascicularis (crab-eating macaque). RNAcentral also lists the same sequence under 1 other name. Lineage: Eukaryota; Metazoa; Chordata; Mammalia; Primates; Cercopithecidae. The record is from RNAcentral.
UCUCUGCUUGGAUUCUGGACCACCAC